GGGGGUAGCAAUAUUCUCUAGUCGGAGCGGCGCAAGGGUGCGUAACACGUGGGUAAUCUGCCAUGAAGCCCGGGAUAACUCGCUGAAAGGCGAGCUAAUACCGGAUGUGACAACCGGGAGGCAUCUCCUGGUUGUUGAAGUUGGGGACCGUAAGGCCUGACACUUCAUGAUGAGCCCGCGGCCUAUCAGCUAGUUGGUGAGGUAACGGCUCACCAAGGCUAAGACGGGUAGCUGGUCUGAGAGGACGACCAGCCACACUGGAACUGAGACACGGUCCAGACACCUACGGGUGGCAGCAGUCGAGAAUUCUUCACAAUGGGGGAAACCCUGAUGGAGCGACGCCGCGUGGGGGAUGAAUGGCUUCGGCCCGUAAACCCCUGUCAUUUGCGAUCAAACCUUAUUAUUUAAAAGAUGAUAAGCUGAUAGUAGCGAAAGAGGAAGGGACGGCUAACUCUGUGCCAGCAGCCGCGGUAAUACAGAGGUCCCAAGCGUUGUUCGGAUUCACUGGGCGUAAAGGGUGCGUAGGUGGUGAGGUAAGUCGGAUGUGAAAUCUCUGAGCUCAACUCGGAAAUGGCAUUGGAAACUACCUUGCUCGAGGGUUGGAGGGGGGACUGGAAUUCUCGGUGUAGCAGUGAAAUGCGUAGAUAUCGAGAGGAACACCAGUGGCGAAGGCGAGUCCCUGGACAACUCCUGACACUGAGGCACGAAAGCUAGGGGAGCAAACAGGAUUAGAUACCCUGGUAGUCCUAGCCGUAAACGG
Molecule: ribosomal RNA, 760 nt
Filed under: uncultured Verrucomicrobiota bacterium
Lineage: Bacteria; Pseudomonadati; Verrucomicrobiota
Description: bacterial SSU rRNA
Rfam family: Bacterial small subunit ribosomal RNA
Source: RNAcentral